This 602-nucleotide long non-coding RNA is filed under the name Phascolarctos cinereus (koala). RNAcentral's name for it is "lncRNA (ENSPCIG00000009370.2)". Lineage: Eukaryota; Metazoa; Chordata; Mammalia; Diprotodontia; Phascolarctidae. The record is from RNAcentral.
CCCGAACCUGUUGGCAGGUCUUCGUCCCGCCCCUUCUUUCCCUUUCUCCCGCCUCCCCGAGUUUACGCGCUGUGAUUGGUCGAGAGAGCCGUCCGGUCUCCUUUCCCCUCCCCCUCCCGCGGGCGAGUUGGGCUGCGCGGCAGCGGAGGUGGAAGCCUGAGGCGGCAGCGGCGGCGGCAGCGGCCUCCCCUUCGUCCUCCUUCCCUCCUUCCCUCCUCCCGCCCGCCCAGCUCGCCUCCCGGCUGCCCUUGUGCCUCACACACCCCCCUGGCCUCCUCCGUCCCGGCGCUUGCUCCGGGAGCUGAGCCGGCCCCGCCUGAGGAGCAGCAGUGGCGGGAAGAUCCAGCUUCCUUUGGUCAAGUACAGCUUUCUACCUUGGUGCUGAGAAUCCUUAAAGAUAGUGAGUCGACAUAUAGCUUCUAGAGCGCCACAAGGAGGCUGAGAGGUGACACGGACCUGAGAGGUCAAGGUCGACAUUGCAGCCAGUUAAGUAGUGGAAGAGAAGCUCAAGUUUGGCUCUCCUGACUUGUAAGUCUGGCGUCCCUUGUCCAACCUCAGGGUAUCUCUCCUCCCGAUAAUCAAGUAGGACGGGACGUGGGUGG